This is a long non-coding RNA of Papaver somniferum (opium poppy), 2478 nucleotides long. RefSeq lists it as uncharacterized. The record is from RefSeq and is a predicted model, not a curated record. Lineage: Eukaryota; Viridiplantae; Streptophyta; Magnoliopsida; Ranunculales; Papaveraceae. The transcript is spliced from 10 exons.
CUUUCACUAACUUAUAGCAAAACGCAUCGCUCUUCUUUUCUCUCUCCGUAAGUUUAAACAUUAAUUUUCUCUCGAUCGACCUCCACCAUCUUCUUCUUCUACAAUGGAUCCAUAUCCGGAAGGUAAAAUAGAGGUCAAUACCCUCAAACAAAUAAUCGAUUUCAAUGGUAGUCUGUGUGUUGUGAGAUCGUCUUCCAGUGUGCCCAGAAUUGCGUGCCGGCAAGUGAAAUCGUCCAUUAUCCAUUUCUUGUGUUCUUUGGAGUCUGGUGGUGCAUCUGAUUUUGGUUGUUGGAGGACGUAUGAGACUUCGAUGUCGGAGAGGAUGAAUUCGAUUUUGGUUUUCCAUAUUGGGAAUUUGUCUCCGGAGCUGUUGAGUUUUCGAGUUGUGGUUAAUUCUCUGUAAAAGAAUUCUGAAAACAUGACUGAUUGAUUGAUCGGAUUGAGCUUGAGAUUGGGUUUUGAUGAAUUGGGAGAGUGUGAUUUUGAGAUCAGUCUAUGUGUGGAAUAUAGAGAGACCUAAUUGAGAUUUGGGGAGUCAUAAAAUACGUCUUACGAUUCAUUGGGGUUAGGGUGAAUUUCGAAGCUCUUGAUUUUCCUGUUUGUAGUUUCGAUUGAAGUGUUAUUUUUCUUCAUUAAAGUUGUUGUUUACUUCAACUGGUUAGUGUUGUCAUUCCUGAUAACGAUGGUGUGGUGGCAGUGAUGAAGUAAAAGAUGGCUCAGUUUGCUAAGAGAUUGUUGGUUACACUGCUUCUGUUCUGUGAGGAGUUGUUAACUCACUUGAUGUUUUCGUAUCUUGUGUGUACUACGACAUUCUGAUGAUACAUGAAUUGGGUGUUUCUACAUACUUAGUACUAUGUUGCACGCACUCAGGAAGAAAAAUCUUCUUGACUCCUGUUCCUCGAAUUGAAUAAAACAAUUAACAAGAAUUCCUGGCUUUUAUGGAUUUGGAGAGCUCGGGAGGCAGCUGUUCCACCAAAUGCAACUCUUCUGAUUUCUUUAGAGUUUCUCUCCUGGAAGAUCGUGACAGAAGUAACUCCUGACAAGAAAGUCAUAAAGAAGGUUCUUAAAGAAGGAGAGGGAUAUGAUAAACCUAAUGAUGGAACUGUUGCCAAAGUGAAGUUAACCGGGAAGCUUCAAGAUGGAACAAUAUUUUUGAGAACGGCUCCAUUUGUUGGUAUUGGUAUUUUAGAGGCUCUUGUUGCCGCUUCUAGGAUGGCAGUUGCAGAGAGGAGGAUAAGAUAUAGUUUAUGGAAGCUAUGCAGCUCAGACGGUUGAUGUGGUCAAAAGGAUGAAAGAGAUUACUCUUGUUAAGAAGACUCCUGAGAAUAUAUUGGAAGAUCAAGGUGUUACUUCCGCAGAGAUAUAAGAUCUGUUGGACGAAUUGCAAGACCAUGUUGAAUCCAUUGACAUGGAGAACGGUAAGUUGAUUUCUUUGUAUGAGUUAGUGAUAUUUGAUUUCAUGUUGUAUGUAAAUUAAUGUUUUGGUAUUGCCUGAUAGAUUUGCUUACAAUUGGUAAUUGAGUGCACGCAUCUAGGAAAAGCAUGCCGAUGUUAUAACUACCAUAGUUCAAAGCAAUCAUAAAAUUCAGCAACUUGUAAUGGAAGAUCGAACCCCUGUUGGCUAAUCUCAUCUCAGAUCCAGAUGUUACUGCUCGAACCGCACAUGGUGUAAUAUCAUGCAAGUAAUAUAUGUCGUCUGUUCUGUAUGCAUGCCAUCGGUUUAGAUAUGCAGCUUUAUUAUCUAUACUGAGGCUGGUUGAUGUUCAAUGGCGUCACUUGAAAUACUUAUGACCUCUUAUGUAUUUUCUAUGGACGUCUUUCAUCUUUGAUUCGAUACAACAAGCCUGGAGUUGCUGCAUUCAGUCUGGCAAAUGGUUAUGGAGCUUUGAGGGAUGCACUGGAUUCAGACGAUGUUAGAUUUCAAAGGCCUAAUUAAGAAGGUGGUGACAGACUCGCAAGAUUUGGUGGUCCAAGAGGUGGAGCACCAGGAGAGUUUGAAGGAGUUAAGGGUUCACAGAGACGAAGCCGGUUUCUGCCAAGAACUUGUUACAAGCUGCGGGGGUUUUGCUACUUUGGAUCUCAGGAACUCAUUGAUAAAAUGGAUAUUUUAGGGAAUUCUACUAACCCAAGUGAAAGAAAGAACCUAUAAGGAUCCAGACUUGAGUAUGAACCAUUGAUGUCAUUAAUCGAUCUAUAGCUCGAGGGACGAAGAAACUUCUGUUCCUGCAUAGAUUUUUCACCGAGCUGGAUAUAGGUUGAACAUAUUGAACUUACCUUCAAGUUUCUUGUUAUGAACUCAGAAUUUCAUCCAUUUUUGUGUAAAUUUAAACCCAGUAGAUAAAGGAAUGAAUGUUGAAUUCUCAGAUUGAGUUUAUUUGGAGUUUCAUUUCAAUUUGAGUCUGGGUGUCAUUUGACUUUAAUUUAAAUUCCUUUUGAAUGAAUGAAUAUGGAAUUCUCAAGUUUGAGUUUAUAUUUGAA